CCUACGGGUGGCAGCAGUGAGGAAUAUUGGUCAAUGGACGCAAGUCUGAACCAGCCAUGCCGCGUGCAGGAAGACGGCUCUAUGAGUUGUAAACUGCUUUUGUACGAGGGUAAACGCAGAUACGCGUAUCUGUCUGAAAGUAUCGUACGAAUAAGGAUCGGCUAACUCCGUGCCAGCAGCCGCGGUAAUACGGAGGAUUCAAGCGUUAUCCGUAUUUAUUGGGUUUAAAGGGUGCGCCGGCGGUCUGUUAAGUCCGCGGUAAAAGCCCGGGGCUCAACCCCGGCCCGCCGUUGAAACUGGCAGUCUCGAGUUGGAGAGAAGUAUGCGGAAUGCGUGGUGUAGCGGUGAAAUGCAUAGAUAUCACGCAGAACUCCGAUUGCGAAGGCAGCAUACCGGCGCUCAACUGACGCUCAUGCACGAAAGUGUGGGUAUCGAACAGGAUUAGAUACCCUAGUAGUC
This 459-nucleotide ribosomal RNA is filed under the name uncultured bacterium. RNAcentral's name for it is "partial 16S ribosomal RNA". It matches the Rfam family "Bacterial small subunit ribosomal RNA", at positions 338 to 795 of the family's 1533-position model. The record is from RNAcentral.